Molecule: ribosomal RNA, 348 nt
Filed under: uncultured bacterium
Lineage: Bacteria
Description: bacterial SSU rRNA
Rfam family: Bacterial small subunit ribosomal RNA
Source: RNAcentral
AGAGUUUGAUCCUGGCUCAGGAUGAACGCUAGCUGCAGGCUUAACACAUGCAAGUCGAGGGGCAGCAUGUUGGUUGCUUGCAACCAAUGAUGGCGACCGGCGCACGGGUGAGUAACGCGUAUCCAACCUCCCCUUGUCCAUCGGAUAACCCGUCGAAAGGCGGCCUAACACGAUAUGCGGUUCUCAGCAGGCAUCUAACGAGAACGAAAUGUGAAGGAGAAGGAUGGGGAUGCGUCUGAUUAGCUUGUUGGCGGGGUAACGGCCACCAAGGCGACGAUCAGUAGGGGUUCUGAGAGGAAGGUCCCCCACAUUGGAACUGAGACACGGUCCAAACUCCUACGGGAGGCA